This 150-nucleotide unclassified non-coding RNA is filed under the name uncultured Tremellales. Its description in RNAcentral is "sequence contains ITS1". Lineage: Eukaryota; Fungi; Basidiomycota; Tremellomycetes; Tremellales. The record is from RNAcentral.
GUGAAUAACGUGGGUGUCUUCGCUUCGGCAAGGCAUCUGCACCUUUACAUCCAUAACACCUGUGAACCGUAAGAUGUGGUGAUUCGUUGCCCAUCUGACCUUUUUAUCAAACAUCAGUAGUAAUAAAAGUAGUUAUAUUAUAAUCUAAUA